ACGUGGCAAAAAAGACCUCUGGAAACGC
This 28-nucleotide small RNA is filed under the name Bombyx mori (domestic silkworm). Its description in RNAcentral is "piRNA piR-bmo-2089762". The record is from RNAcentral. Lineage: Eukaryota; Metazoa; Arthropoda; Insecta; Lepidoptera; Bombycidae.